UGGGGAAUAUUGCGCAAUGGACGAAAGUCUGACGCAGCGACGCCGCGUGUGGGAUGACGGUCUUCGGAUUGUAAACCACUGUCGGGAGGGACGAAUACGCCGCAAGGCGGGUGACGGUACCUCCAAAGGAAGCACCGGCUAACUCCGUGCCAGCAGCCGCGGUAAUACGGAGGGUGCGAGCGUUGUCCGGAAUCACUGGGCGUAAAGGGCGCGUAGGCGGCCUGAUAAGUAGGGGGUGAAAUCCUGCGGCUUAACCGCAGGGCUGCCUUCUAAACUGUCGGGCUCGAGCACAGUAGAGGCAGGUGGAAUUCCCGGUGUAGCGGUGGAAUGCGUAGAGAUCGGGAAGAACAUCAGUGGCGAAGGCGGCCUGCUGGGCUGUUGCUGACGCUGAGGCGCGACAGCGUGGGGAGCAAACAGG
This 418-nucleotide ribosomal RNA is filed under the name uncultured bacterium. RNAcentral describes it as "bacterial SSU rRNA". It matches the Rfam family "Bacterial small subunit ribosomal RNA", at positions 355 to 776 of the family's 1533-position model. The record is from RNAcentral.